Molecule: non-coding RNA, 1140 nt
Organism: Camellia sinensis
Lineage: Eukaryota; Viridiplantae; Streptophyta; Magnoliopsida; Ericales; Theaceae
Source: RefSeq, a predicted model, not a curated record
UCUCAGUCUCCCUCUCUCGCUAAACCCUUGAUUUCACUCUCUCUCGCUUCAUUGUUGUAGAACCGCAGCUGAACCCCUUUGUAUUUGCAGAUCGAUUCAAGUAAUAUUCACUCUCAGUCUUGCUCUCUCUUUCUCUCUAAACCCUUGAUUUCACUUUCUCUCGCUUCAAACGCUUUCGUUUCAAAGACAACCCUUCAUAUUUGUAGAACCGCAGCUGAACCCCUUCAUAUUUGCAGAUCGAUUCAAGUAUUUGUAGAUCGAUUCAAGCCUCUUCUCUAGUUCGUGUUCGUGUUCGAGUUCGCAGCUCUUUCUUCAUAGUUCUCUCAAAUUGUUGGAAGCCCAUAUUACAUGGCACCAAAGGUGCUCAAGCGGAAUUGCGGACUACAAAUAGAUAUUUGGGCACCAGAGGUUCUCUGAAAUUGUUGGACUAGAAAGGUUCUUUGAAUUGGUUUUGCUGCCAACCUGAGUCAUCAGGAGUAUUUCCUCAGUUUUUUCUUUCCAAAGAGAAAGAUAACCCAACAUUUAGAUCGCUUUCUUUGAGUGGAGUGCGCGGCUUUUUUUGGUAUUGGCACUGCUGUCCUUUUCAAAGGGUCUUCUUCUUGUGCCUCAAUAGAGUGAAGUUCAAUAAAAAGGUGGGAUUCCUGUUUGUAUAGAAGGGGCAAAUUGGAAGGGAAGUUUAUUUUAAUGACGUGAGAUAGGCAUCCCACAUGUAAAUGAAGACUGCUCAUUGCAGUUUCGAAUAUACAGUUUCUUUCAUUUGUUCUCCACAUUUCUUGAUCACUAAGGUGAGAUGAGCUCUUAGGCUGAUCUUAUGUAGAUGUGCAGGUACAUUUGAUGUGCCCAUAUUUAGCACUUUCUAGUGAAUAAUACGCAUUUAAACAACAUGGACUUAAUUUUUUCAUGCUUGGUAUGGUUCAAUAAUGGUCAAAAGUAAUGCACUCAACAAAGUUUUUUCAUAAGAUUUAGAUUUCAGAACCAUGGUCCCUCUGAACAAGUGCAAGACUUGUCACCCAUGCAUGCUGUAAGCACCAAUUUUGGAUGAUCUUUUCUGACAAGGUGCACUGUUGAUAAUAUUAUGGAUACAUCAGUAGGUAUUUUAACUUUUAUACUAACGAGUUGAUGAACCCCCCUUUCGUUUUU